This 2385-nucleotide long non-coding RNA is filed under the name Equus caballus (horse). Its description in RNAcentral is "lncRNA (ENSECAG00000048716.1)". Lineage: Eukaryota; Metazoa; Chordata; Mammalia; Perissodactyla; Equidae. The record is from RNAcentral.
GAAAGCCCCAAACUCUCCACUUCCUAAUCUCUGGUCUGCCACAAAUCCAGAGCAACCAGUAGAGGAAGGAAGGAAAGAGCAGCUGGCUGAGGGCCCGUCUUCCCCACAUCCCUGGGAGGCUGGGAUGGUAAGUGAUUUGCCAAUGAACAGCAGAGCUGGGAUUAGAACUCAGGACCCCGGGGCUGGCCCGGUGGCACAGCGGUUAAGUUUGCACGUUCUGCUUCUCGGUGGCCCCGGGUUUGCCGGUUCGGAUCCCAGGUGUGGACAUGGCACCACUUGGCAAAAGCCAUGCUGUGCUAGGUGUCCCACAUAUAAAGUGGAGGAAGAUGGGCAUGGAUGUUAGCUCAGGGCCAGCCUUCCUUAGCAAAAAGAGGAGGAAUGGGAGAUGUUAGCUCAGGGCUAAUCUUGCUCAGGAAAAAAAAAAAGAACUCAGGACCCCUGAUUCCCAGAGCCCAAGUCUGGUUCUUGGCCUGCCCGUCAGGAAGGGCCCCUGAUGGACCUGGUGACCAGAGGGACAGUCCAGUUCUGCUGGCUCAGGAGCAAGUACAAAGGCUGCGGAUCCAGGCCCCAGAGGUCUAGGAUGGGUGAGGAGUGGGCAUGGGAGGACCGUCUCAGCUUUCCUGCAUAACGGGGAGGAGAUGGGGGAGGACGCACCGGGCUAAAAGCUGGGAGGGGCUAGAGUCACCCCUGCGGGCCCACUAGUCUGGGAGUUUGGGCUCUGAGAUGGCGCUGCCUCCACCCCGGCUCCUCCUCCAGUGUGGCCUGACUUGGCGGGUCCAUGUCCCUCCCAUGGACAGUGGCACGGGCUCAGCCUCCAGAGCCCACAGGCCUGAGCCAGGCUAAAUAAGGGGAGACUGUCCCCCACCCUGGCUCCUGAGCCCUGGGCGGGGCUUGAGGCCACUCAGGCCUGGUCACCGUCUGGGCCUGCUGGAGCAACAGCCUCGGCAAACGCUUUUCCAGAUGUGCCCUGUUCCUGACGUGCCCGGCGAGACCUGAAUUCCAGUCAGAGCUGGCUGCUCACAGGACAGUCUGGGCUUUGUCGCCUUCGGGAUCCAGCGGGAGAAUCUCAGGCUUUGUCCGGAGGGUGGGAGGAAGGGUGAGCAGGGCCCGCCCUGGUCUCCAUCCACCGGUGACCCCUCCCUCUGUGGUCCUGUCUGGGGAUUCUAUUCAUGUGAAGCCAACAUUCCUGGAGCCCACAGGGCCAGCAAGAUCAUCUCACACAAGCGGAUCGCUGUCUCGCCUAAUGAGAAAAUGAUGACAUGGCCCCCUGCCCUGGGCCCCCGGGCCCAGCCAGGCCCUGGCUCCCCAGCCCCCUGUGCCGCCGGCAGCCUCACAAGCGUGCACACACCUCCUGCUUUGUGCCAUUGUUCUACAGAGCCGGAAGCCCUCGGAGGGGCCAUUUUUAGAGCCAACUGGGAAAGAGGGACCUGCCAGGCCUGCAUCAGCUGCCUGCCUGCGUCUCCCACUCAUCCUCACCCCGCCAGUCAGAGGACAGCAAUGCUGCCACCUUUCCCAGUGCUGCCCUUUGGGGGCCUCAGACCAAGUGUGUCCCAUGUGUCCACCCCCCGCCAGUGACAGCUCUUUGGAGCAGAUGCGUGGACAGAAGGACCCAUAUUCCAAGGGCUGCCAAUUCUCAGUCAAGUCAUCCCCGGGUAUCUCGGGCCCUCUGUGCUCCUGCUUCAUCCUGGUGGCAGUGGACCCAAGCUGCGCACAGUCACAUCAGGGCAACCCCAUUACCCCAGGAGUGGCCAGAAGCAGUCGCUGCCGAGAGCCCAGCACCGGAGGAGGACGCCUAUGGUCCGCGAGGGAGCAGACAGUUGGCCCAACGAGGCCCCCCUGUCCCGGGGCGCAUGCUCACCACCCGCCUCAUCCCUACAGAUGAUGACACAAGAGGGCUCCCACACCCCUCAGUGGCCUGACCCUGCCAGAGAGAAGAACUGAGCGCCAAAACUGCAGCCAGGGUCGGUUUGCAGGGCUGGGGUCAGGCCUGGGCAGGGCUGCCACAGAGGUCAGUUUUCCUGUAGAGAAAUCAGGGCAGGAAGGGGAAUCUUCCCAGGCCCUGUCUCGCGCACUUCCGACAUCUGUUCCAAAAGCAUCUGAGGAUGUCUUCAGCGCUUCUCAGACUCUAACAUGAACGUGAAUCCUCUGGGGAGCCUGUUAGAAUGCAGAUUCUUGGGGCCAGCCUUGUGGCACAAGCUCACUUCCACAGCUCGAGUUCCUGGGUUCCAAUCCCAGGCACAGACCUACACACCACUCAUCAAGUCACGCUGUGGCGGCGACACACAUACAGUGGAGGAAGAUUGGCACAGACGAUUGCUCUCAGGGCCAAUCUUCUUCAAGUGAAAAAAGAGGAAGAUUGGCAACAGGUGUUAGCUGAGAGCUAAU